RNAcentral lists this ribosomal RNA (198 nucleotides) under uncultured bacterium. RNAcentral describes it as "partial 16S ribosomal RNA". It matches the Rfam family "Bacterial small subunit ribosomal RNA", at positions 1303 to 1500 of the family's 1533-position model. The record is from RNAcentral.
GUCUGCAACUCGACUACAUGAAGCUGGAAUCGCUAGUAAUCGCGAAUCAGAAUGUCGCGGUGAAUACGUUCCCGGGUCUUGUACACACCGCCCGUCACACCAUGGGAGUCGGAAAUGCCCGAAGUCAGUGACCUAACCGAAAGGGAGGAGCUGCCGAAGGUGGAGCCGGUAACUGGGGUGAAGUCGUAACAAGGUAUC